CCUACGGGAGGCAGCAGUGGGGAAUAUUGCACAAUGGGGGGAACCCUGAUGCAGCGACGCCGCGUGGGUGAGGAAGUACUUCGGUAUGUAAAGCCCUAUCAGCAGGGAAGAAAAUGACGGUACCUGACUAAGAAGCCCCGGCUAACUACGUGCCAGCAGCCGCGGUAAUACGUAGGGGGCAAGCGUUAUCCGGAUUUACUGGGUGUAAAGGGAGCGUAGACGGCGUGCCAAGUCUGGUGUGAAAGGCCGGGGCUCAACCCCGGGACUGCAUUGGAAACUGGCAUGCUGGAGUGCUGGAGGGGCAAGCGGAAUUCCUAGUGUAGCGGUGAAAUGCGUAGAUAUUAGGAGGAACACCGGUGGCGAAGGCGGCUUGCUGGACGGUAACUGACGUUGAGGCUCGAAAGCGUGGGGAGCAAACAGGAUUAGAUACCCCUGUAGUC
RNAcentral lists this ribosomal RNA (440 nucleotides) under uncultured bacterium. RNAcentral describes it as "partial 16S ribosomal RNA". It matches the Rfam family "Bacterial small subunit ribosomal RNA", at positions 338 to 795 of the family's 1533-position model. The record is from RNAcentral.